Magallana angulata is the source of this 2482-nucleotide long non-coding RNA. RefSeq lists it as uncharacterized. The record is from RefSeq and is a predicted model, not a curated record. The transcript is spliced from 3 exons. Lineage: Eukaryota; Metazoa; Mollusca; Bivalvia; Ostreida; Ostreidae.
UUUAGAGUCAACAGUGAUAUUGAAGUAUGUUCUGUUGUAUGAUCAAUUGCCUGAGAUUGUCAUUUCGUACAGGACACAUCACAAGGCACAUACAUCUCGACCAUCUGAGUUGUUAUAAUACUUGCUGGAAUGAAUGAUCGAUCGCCUGUCACUACGCACAAGACAUAUCACAUGGCACAUACAUCUCGACCAUCAGAGCAGUUCUAAUACUUGCUGGAACAGAUUAACCCUCAAAUGUUGGAUGACUUAGUUGGAUUCAUCUACUGUUUUGGACUGUUCAUCCACUCAAAUACGCUGCGACCAAGCUUAUCGAUAUGACUGUUUUGAUCAUAUACAACUUGUGCACUUUUUACCUCUAUAACAUUAUCAUUAAUAAUUAAGAUUAGCUAUAUUCAGAUAUUUAAAGAUGUAUUAAAAGUAUGAUCUGCAUUUUUAAUAUGUGAGACGCUCAACGUAAAAUUGUUAUCCUUUUUCAUAUGACCCAAAAUAUGACCUUUUAAAAAAGGAUCAAGUAGUCAUAGCAUGUAAAUUUAAUGUUAUUUAAAUGUUAUUCUGAGAUAAAAUGUUAUUGGUUUCCCGUACAAAAAAACCCUAUGUACGCUUUUGUUUAACAUUAACUCCUUCCUUUUUAUCCGGUAAAAUAAAUAAAAUAAAAAAAUGGCUUUGUGUAGUAAACUUAGACUCAAAAACAACAAAGCUAGCAUUGAUUUAAAAAUGGUUAAAAUUUGGUCUACAAUCUAGUUGGCAGAUAAAAUGCAUCUUAAAGAAUGAAGUUGAUUACUUUUUUUCAAGUAUAUGUGAUAAUUUUAAAGAAAUACUUCUGAAAAAUUAUACAUUUAUUUUGAAAUUACUCGUAGUCCAAUAGUUUGUUUACUGUAUUUUUAUCAUCUGACUACAGAAUAUUCAAGGUAAUGUAGUGUGUAAAUGUGUCUUCUUAAUAUUUCUUUACGUAUAUUUUUAUUAUUAGAUUUUCUUUGUUUUGUUUCUGGGUUAUGGUCACACUUUUAGCUGAACUAUUUUGUUUCAUUUUACUUCAUUUUCAACAUAUGGAUGACUUCAAAUUAUUGAAGAAAAUCUUAAUAUUAUAUUUUAUUUAAAAAGCGAGAUACAGAGACUCAGUAUUUUUGUUCAAGAUUCAAGACGUUGUUAACGGCAAUGGCAUAUUUUGUUUCCGUAUGUAAUGUAUUAGUAAGUUCCAUAAAGGAUAACAACUCUCAAUAAAAAGAAAAUUAUCAACAUCCUUUCUUUAUAUGUAAAUUGUGUUUAAUUUGUUAAAGAAAUAGCUUUUUUGUUGUUUUCUUUAUUGUUCAAAAUCUGAAAACAAAAAUUUUACAAGAUGUUUUUAUUCAACUUUAUUUCUAAAAUAAAAUGUAAAUAAUGUACCUCGCUUGUAACUCGACUUCUAACGUUUGAAUAGUAAAAAAUCAUCUAUAUGACAGAAAAAGUAACUGUAUUGUAGUUAUCAUCUGAAAUUGUGACCAAGUCCCUCUAAGAUGUAAACAAAUAACUUGUAUAUGACCUUUUUGUUAAAGCUCAUGUGAGUUUUUCUGAUCAAAAUAUGGCUGGUGUCUGAUGCCUUCCUGUCUUAGGUCAAUGCGUUGAUUGCUUGCAUUUAAUUCUUACUCUAUGAAUUGAAUUGAUUUUUGGAGAUUUUUUAGCUUUGUUUAAAUGAAGAACCAUGCCAUUGUUUUUCAGGAAAACAAGAAAAUGCGGUUUUCUCUUAUUUUGCCAAUUCAAGCAGUUUUGCAAGUUUCCCUUUAAUCUAGUAAUCCUAUAGUUUGAAGGUUCUGGCUUAUCUAUUUAACAAGUAAUUUUAUGACAUUGGUUAGGUGAAACGUGAAAAUGGCGCCCACGCGUUAUCGUUUCCCGGUAUUGUACACUGUAUUCAUUAAGCCAUAGAACAAAGUAUAAUUUACUCGAGGUGGCGAUGGCUUUAUAGAAUUAGAUUUUGUCAAUAUAUCAUUCAGAGAAACAUCUGAGCAUUUUAAAGAUGUUAUUUCAUUUAAAAAAAAGUAUUGUAUAAGCCCAUAUAUUAUGUCAAUAUGUACCAAAAAUAUGGGGAUAACGUGAAAUGUUUGCGCUUUAUCAGCAAAUUUUUAAAACGCCUCAUGGUAAAUUUGAUAACAUUCGAGACAAUCCCGUAGGAAAUCGGGGCGGUAAAAACAUUUUUUUUUAAAUCUAGAAAUAUUGUAAUAGAAGUAAAUUACUUGUUUUCAUCAACACAUCUAGGGUAGAAAUAAUUAGAAUCGGCCUCAUUAAUGGUUUUUAUAAAGAUACACUAUUUAUUGUACGAUGGUAAAAGAGACGCGGAUUAUUCACCAACGAAAAUCAUUUUUGCGGAGAGCAUCGCCCAAGGAUGAUUUUAUUUUACUGGAGAAAAAAAUCUUCAUAUAUCCUAAGCAUUCAUGCAAGUAAUAUAAUAUACCGAAAGACAUUCUGGCAUUUUAAAAAUUACGUCGUGUUUUAAAACAAAGCAAAAUAA